Molecule: unclassified non-coding RNA, 237 nt
Filed under: Hevea brasiliensis (rubber tree)
Lineage: Eukaryota; Viridiplantae; Streptophyta; Magnoliopsida; Malpighiales; Euphorbiaceae
Source: RNAcentral
CAAAAUCUCAGGUGCAUGAUUUGGAGAAAAAGGUAGACAUGAUUGAAGUUGAGCGGAAUAUCUUGGAGCAGAGAGUAAAGGAACUUCAAGAUCAGCAAACCAUCUCAACAGAGUUACAGGAGAAAGUUAGAUCUCUGACUGAUAGGCUUAAUGCCAAAGACCAAGAAAUUGAAGCCCUAAUGCAAGCUCUUGAUGAGGAGGAAAUUCAGAUGGACGGUUUAACAAAAAAAGUAGGGG